CCCUUAGAUGUUCUGGGCUGCACGCGCGCUACACUGACGCACGCAACAGGUGCCUGCUCCGAGAGGACUGGGUAAUCAUUUGAGUGUGCGUCGUGAUGGGGAUAGAAUAUUGUAAUUAUUACUCUUCAACGAGGAAUUCCUAGUAAGCGCCAGUCAGCAACUUGCGCUGAUUACGUCCCUGCCCUUUGUACACACCGCCCGUCGCUCCUACCGAUGGGUGAUCCGGUGAAUGAUUCGGACUUCAGCGGCUCCCCUGGGGUGCGCCGGAGAAAGUUUUGUGAACCUUAUCACUUGGAGGAAGGAGAAGUCGUAACA
Molecule: ribosomal RNA, 315 nt
Filed under: uncultured eukaryote
Lineage: Eukaryota
Description: partial 18S ribosomal RNA
Rfam family: Eukaryotic small subunit ribosomal RNA
Source: RNAcentral